This 115-nucleotide ribosomal RNA is filed under the name Syntrophomonadaceae bacterium. Lineage: Bacteria; Bacillati; Bacillota; Clostridia; Eubacteriales; Syntrophomonadaceae. The record is from RNAcentral.
CCUGGUGAUGAUGGCGGAGAGGAAACACCCGUACCCAUACCGAACACGGCAGUUAAGUCCUCCAGCGCCGAUGGUACUAUCCCUUAAGGGAUGGGAGAGUAGGUCGUUGCCAGGA